RNAcentral lists this non-coding RNA (37 nucleotides) under uncultured archaeon. The record is from RNAcentral.
GUCCGAGAGCAAGUUCCACGAAAACAAGGAUUGAAAC